Molecule: non-coding RNA, 126 nt
Filed under: Caldicellulosiruptor owensensis
Lineage: Bacteria; Bacillati; Bacillota; Caldicellulosiruptorales; Caldicellulosiruptoraceae
Also listed under: 1 other name
Description: SAM-I sequence
Rfam family: SAM riboswitch aptamer (S box leader)
About the family: The SAM riboswitch is found upstream of a number of genes which code for proteins involved in methionine or cysteine biosynthesis in Gram-positive bacteria. The SAM riboswitch acts at the level of transcription termination control. The predicted structure consists of a complex stem-loop region followed by a single stem loop terminator region.
Source: RNAcentral
UUCUUAUCAAGAGUGGCGGAGGGACUGGCCCAAUGAAGCCCGGCAACCGGAAAAAGGAAAAUUUAAUUCCUUUUUCUUGGUGCCAAUUCCAGCAGGUAUUUUUUUAAAAUACCUGGCAGAUAAGAA